Molecule: long non-coding RNA, 1151 nt
Filed under: Homo sapiens (human)
Lineage: Eukaryota; Metazoa; Chordata; Mammalia; Primates; Hominidae
Description: HSALNT0334262
Source: RNAcentral
AUCCUCCCGCCUUGGCCUCCCAAAGUGCUGGGAUUACAGGCGUGAGCCACAGCACCUGGCCAUCUUACCCAUUUUUAUAUCCUGCUGCCCACCCCCUCCAGCAACUAGGCCUGCACCUAGAAAGAUAUUAUCAAAUGUCCCUGCCACAUCCCUGCCAGUAUCCCUGUCUGUCCCCAGCCAGCCCACACAACGGAUGCACAGAAAGGACCUGUCUUCUUUGACAAAGGAGGCUGAUGAUCUAAUACUCUCUUCUGACUUCCUAGCUUGAAUGCUGUUCCAUCUCUUCCUCCCACAGACCAGGACUCAAAGGGCAGCGCAUUUUCUCUGGAAAGACCCAUGUCAUAAUGCACCUUUGUAUGAAGCAGCAACCUUUGCACUGUCUCCAGUUAGUACUUUCAGAGGAAUUAGCUUAUCAGAGUAACUAGUUGGCACCUUAACAGGCAUGCAGAAUCUGACUCAGGAACAGAGACUCAAGAGAACUAAGGUGCAGUAGGAAGCAGGUGGCAGAGUGAAGAUGUGAGUAGUGGGAAAUAGUGUGAGUUAUCUGGGGUAGAAAAGGUAGAUUGGGAGCAAAACCGGCAAGGGGACAAGGGCUGGGUAAUGGGUAAAUUAUAAUGGCCUCUUCCUCAUUUAAGAGGCCAUUACAAUAAAUUUUACCUACUUUACCAAACAGCUUAAAGCCAAAGUGGGAGCUCAAAACCAGGAAGGAGCCAGGCACAGUGGCAUAUGCCUGUGGUCUCAGCUACUCAGGAGGCCAAGAUAAGAGGAUCACUUGAGCCCAGGAGUUUAAGACCAGCCCCGGCAACACAGUGAGACCUCAAAAACAACCCAGUUAUGGCAUGAGAAUCUGGCUGGAUGUGCUUCACCACCACCCAGAAGAGCCCCAUGGGGAUGUAGAGAUUAAAUCCAAUCAUCUCUAAGGUCCAUUCCCAACUGGAAUUUUAGAAUUUCAGAAGCAGGAACAUUUCCUACCUAUAGUUGAGCAGUUUCAUGCUACAUCAUGGUGGAUCCCUCCCAAGUCACCACUGCCUAACAUUCCACAGAAUAUAGUUGAAAGAAACACUUCAGGAGUUCAUCCAAGCAGUCAAUCGGUCAUUUCACAAGGAUCCAAUGAAGGCUUUCAAAAGUGAUUCUUGAAUCUGUAAGAACAA